Molecule: ribosomal RNA, 253 nt
Filed under: uncultured bacterium
Lineage: Bacteria
Description: partial 16S ribosomal RNA
Rfam family: Bacterial small subunit ribosomal RNA
Source: RNAcentral
UACGGGGGGGGCAAGCGUUGUUCGGAAUUACUGGGCGUAAAGGGCUCGUAGGCGGCCAACUAAGUCGGACGUGAAAUCCCUCAGCUUAACUGGGGAACUGCGUCCGAUACUGGAUGGCUUGGAUUUGGGAGAGGGAUGCGGAAUUCCAGGUGUAGCGGUGAAAUGCGCAGAUAUCGGGAAGAACACCCGUGGCGAAGGCGGUUCUCUGGGACGGUACUGACGCUGAGACGCGAAAGCGUGGGGAGCGAACAGG